UCCGGUAUAGUGUAACGGUUAACAUAUCGCGUUUUCAUGGGUUAAUCUGACCUGAAAUCCGCGGGGCUCGGGGUUCGAUUCCCCGUACCGGAG
Non-coding RNA from Coniochaeta pulveracea, 93 nucleotides. NCBI's taxonomy places the organism in Eukaryota, Fungi, Ascomycota, Sordariomycetes, Coniochaetales, Coniochaetaceae. The record is from the annotation of a GenBank genome assembly.